UUACCAUGCAAGUCGAACGAUGAUCCAGGAGCUUGCUCUUGGGGAUUAGUGGCGAACGGGUGAGUAACACGUGAGCAAUCUGCCCUUCACUCUGGGAUAACCUCCGGAAACGGAAGCUAAUACCGGAUAUGACGCACGGAGGCAUCUCCUGUGCGUGGAAAGAACUUCGGUGAAGGAUGAGCUCGCGGCCUAUCAGGUAGUUGGUGAGGUAACGGCCCACCAAGCCUACGACGGGUAGCCGGCCUGAGAGGGUGACCGGCCACACUGGGACUGAGACACGGCCCAGACUCCUACGGGAGGCAGCAGUGGGGAAUAUUGCACAAUGGGCGCAAGCCUGAUGCAGCAACGCCGCGUGAGGGACGACGGCCUUCGGGUUGUAAACCUCUUUUAGUAGGGAAGAAGCGAAAGUGACGGUACCUGCAGAAAAAGCACCGGCUAACUACGUGCCAGCAGCCGCGGUAAUACGUAGGGUGCAAGCGUUGUCCGGAAUUAUUGGGCGUAAAGAGCUCGUAGGCGGUUUGUCGCGUCUGCUGUGAAAACCCGAGGCUCAACCUCGGGCCUGCAGUGGGUACGGGCAGACUAGAGUGCGGUAGGGGAGAAUGGAAUUCCUGGUGUAGCGGUGGAAUGCGCAGAUAUCAGGAGGAACACCGAUGGCGAAGGCAGUUCUCUGGGCCGUAACUGACGCUGAGGAGCGAAAGCGUGGGGAGCGAACAGGAUUAGAUACCCUGGUAGUCCACGCCGUAAACGUUGGGCGCUAGAUGUGGGGACCAUUCCACGGUUUCCGUGUCGCAGCUAACGCAUUAAGCGCCCCGCCUGGGGAGUACGGCCGCAAGGCU
RNAcentral lists this ribosomal RNA (836 nucleotides) under Leifsonia sp. TOB2-19_Pa. Its description in RNAcentral is "bacterial SSU rRNA". It matches the Rfam family "Bacterial small subunit ribosomal RNA", at positions 49 to 895 of the family's 1533-position model. Lineage: Bacteria; Bacillati; Actinomycetota; Actinomycetes; Micrococcales; Microbacteriaceae. The record is from RNAcentral.